UACGUAGGUGACCAGCGUUGUCCGGAUUUACUGGGCGUAAAGAGCGCGCAGGCGGUCGUUCAAGUCGAGUGUGAAAGCCCCCGGCUCAACUGGGGAGGGUCACUCGAUACUGAUCGACUUGAAGGCAGGAGAGGGAAGCGGAAUUCCCGGUGUAGUGGUGAAAUGCGUAGAUAUCGGGAGGAACACCGGUGGCGAAGGCGGGUCUUUGGGCCGAUACUGACGCUGAGGUGCGAAAGCGUGGGGAGCAAACAGG
This 253-nucleotide ribosomal RNA is filed under the name uncultured bacterium. RNAcentral describes it as "partial 16S ribosomal RNA". It matches the Rfam family "Bacterial small subunit ribosomal RNA", at positions 524 to 776 of the family's 1533-position model. The record is from RNAcentral.